Molecule: transfer RNA, 49 nt
Filed under: Thinopyrum bessarabicum
Lineage: Eukaryota; Viridiplantae; Streptophyta; Magnoliopsida; Poales; Poaceae
Also listed under: 1 other name
Description: partial tRNA-Leu
Source: RNAcentral
UUUACUAGAAAUUUCAUUGUUGUCAGUAUUGACAUGUAGAAUGGGACUC